UUAAAUUGAAGAGUUUGAUCAUGGCUCAGAUUGAACGCUGGCGGCAGGCCUAACACAUGCAAGUCGAACGGUAACAGGAAUCAGCUUGC
This 89-nucleotide ribosomal RNA is filed under the name Escherichia coli. RNAcentral describes it as "partial 16S ribosomal RNA". It matches the Rfam family "Bacterial small subunit ribosomal RNA", at positions 1 to 88 of the family's 1533-position model. The record is from RNAcentral. Lineage: Bacteria; Pseudomonadati; Pseudomonadota; Gammaproteobacteria; Enterobacterales; Enterobacteriaceae.